AUGGGCCCUCAAGAGCUGAGCGAAUUCUUGCAGCUCGUGGAUAGAACUCAGCACAUUCAACUACUGGACGAUGUUGAAGACAAACUGGUUUGGGCUUGGGAGAAUAAUGGCUGCUACUCGGCGAGAUCAGCUUGCCGAGCGCUCUUUGCUGGGAGAGUGGAGGCUAAUGGAGCAUCACAAAUUUUGCGGUCAAGGGCACCGGAGACCUGCAAGUUCUUCACAUGGUUGGUAGCAAGGGAGAGGUGCUGGACGGCCGUCAGGCUUGCGCGCCAACAUCUACCACACCCGACAGCCUACCCCUUCUGUGAUCAAGCCCCUAAGGCGAUCAACCGCAUCCUUCUUGGAUAUGUGUUAGCUAGACAAGUGUGGUUAUCCAUCCUUGACCAAUGGGGUAAGCUAGCUUGGCUACCUACUACAGACGCCAACUUGGUGGAAUGGUGGACCUCUAUAAAUCCACAAUCAAAGCUUAGGAAGGAGACAUGGACAGUAAUCGCGCUAGUUGCAUGGCUGAUAUGGAAGUAUAGGAACAAUGUGGUGUUCAACGGAAGGGUCCCUUCCACAAGUGAGCUUAUCAAGAGGAUUGGCUUACAAGGGCAAGACUGGAGGGAGGCAGGGCUGUUGCAUGAAGAGAGGUCGCUUUCGGAUAGUCUAGAUGGGUGGGCUAGUAGUGAGUAA
RNAcentral lists this ribosomal RNA (675 nucleotides) under Triticum aestivum (bread wheat). RNAcentral's name for it is "partial small subunit ribosomal RNA". Lineage: Eukaryota; Viridiplantae; Streptophyta; Magnoliopsida; Poales; Poaceae. The record is from RNAcentral.